AAAGUAGUGUUUGUCUCUCUAUUUUAUUGCAAAAAAUUGAACUAGAAGCCCCACAAACAUGACAAACACGCCAUACAUGGAUUUCCUUCAUAUGCUCAUCGAAUAUUUUGUAUGUCGUUUCAACGCACGGACACCUAACUAGUCCUUUAAUUAAGUUAAAAUGGUCUUUAACCGAGCGAUGAGCCAAUGGUUGACUUGGCUGAGUGCUUGGGCCUAGCUGAGCAACUUGCCUGUUGUGCUUGAGGUCGGUGGACGCGUGACUGGUGAGGUAGCCCAUGGAUCGUGAAAACAUUAAGGGCCUAUUUGGAUCUAGGAGCUAAAGCAAAAUGUCUAAAGUUUAGCUCCUCCUAAGAAGCUAAAAGUGUCUAAUACAUUUUUACUAUUUUAGUCACUUUUAUUUCUU
This is a long non-coding RNA of Zea mays, 403 nucleotides long. RefSeq lists it as uncharacterized. Lineage: Eukaryota; Viridiplantae; Streptophyta; Magnoliopsida; Poales; Poaceae. The record is from RefSeq and is marked validated. The transcript has a single exon.